UGUUUACAGCGUGCAAGAUGAAGCCGGCUGGGGAGGCGGGAAGAAGUACCGUUUGUCUUAGCGGGCCGGCUUGGGUCUCCUCAGAAAAAAUAGCAGCCAGGUCGUUUUAAGCCACACGUUCGUCAUCCAGAACCAUGCGGACGCCGUGUCCCGCCCGGCGCUGGGCCUCCUGUUGGAGCUCGUGUUCGAGACCUGGAAACUAGUAUGAGAUACAAGCUAGUAUCAGAAAACAUUUGACAGAAGACUUAAGAAAAUUGAUCCUUCAAAGCUAUUAUUUAAAUUUAUUUAUUUUUAAUUGUUUAGGUGAGUGGAAUCAGUUUAUGAUUUAAAAAUAUUUUUGUUAAUAACCUUAAAUUUAUCUUUGAUCUAGCUUAACCUAGUAGUCGUGUCAAAAUUCACUUAAGUUUAACAGUGAAAAUGAGCAAGAAAAUAAUUUGAACUGUCUCUGUGGUCAAAAUUUGGUACAUUUCUGUAAUGUUUGUACUGCAGCCACUUCAGGAUGCUAUCAGAGUCUAAGCUGUUUAUGUUUUUAAAAAAUUGAUAUUCUGCAACAGAAAGUUUCUAGAAGGUCUGUUUCUUACCCCUGCAUCUCCCUGAGAGGUUGUUUUUUUUUUUUUUUUUGUUUGUUUGUUUUGUUUUGUUUUUUUUACUUCAUUCAUCUUAAAUGGAGCAAGAGGUAUGUCUAGAAUCUAUAUGGUAUAGUAAGUCCACUGAAAGCAUUCACAGUAAGUUCUAAAAAUGCAAAGUGUUGUCUAGGAGCUGGAGUUUGAAGCAAUUUCUAAACACUCAGUAUUGUGGAAAGCUGUAUAAUUAUGUAAGUAAUUGUACAAUUAACAAAUGUACAGUUAGCAGAGUGGCAUGGUUAGGACAGUAUUUUACAGUUCCAAAGAUUAAAAGAGUAUUGUGGUGGAAAGAGACAAUAAAAGGUAAAUGAAAUGCUCACCUGUGUCCUAGGCUCACAGUAGAAAACUCCAAAGGGAGAGAUCUCCAGAAAAAAAAAAAAUCCUCCCCCAGUGGCAGACCCCUUAAAUGGGGUCUAGAAGAGGUGCAGUCAGGCUCCACCUGUUCUGGUCACACAGCUGAAUUGCCUUCACCUGUGCUCCCACAGCUGACUCAGUGCUUGCCUUAAGUGAUCAGUCAGUGGUUCAAGCUGUGACUGGACAGUUAUCGUACAGUAAUUAAUUUCAUUAUGUUUUAGACAAAUAAGUUGGGGGUGAAGGAAGCAAUAUUUCAUCUGUACUUGUUCCUUAUUAUUAGAAUGGGCUGCUACAUCUGCUUAAAUUGAAAGCACAGAUUUGUUGCCUUUCUUGUGCCAUCUGAAUGUUGAUUUUCACCACAAAGGUUCUAAUAGUAAGAGAAAUGAGCGAAAGAGCACUGAUACUGUCAAGAAGAAAAUUUUAGAUGUUUAGCUUUAAGCCUUAGUAGCUGAAAUACACAGAUUUACUGACCAGAAUAAGAGAAUAAUGUUUGCAAACAGUAUUGUAACAUUUUCUUCUAGUACUGUUAUCCUCUAACAUGUAGAGU
RNAcentral lists this long non-coding RNA (1524 nucleotides) under Gallus gallus (chicken). RNAcentral describes it as "lncRNA (ENSGALG00010025146.1)". Lineage: Eukaryota; Metazoa; Chordata; Aves; Galliformes; Phasianidae. The record is from RNAcentral.